Molecule: long non-coding RNA, 411 nt
Filed under: Selaginella moellendorffii
Lineage: Eukaryota; Viridiplantae; Streptophyta; Lycopodiopsida; Selaginellales; Selaginellaceae
Description: long non-coding RNA (SMOE_LNC001570)
Source: RNAcentral
UUGACACCAUUUUGUGUGCAGGUGCUAGAUAUGGGGAGCUGGUGCUCGUGGGAUUGUACCUGCUAGAUAUGGGGAGCUGGUGCUCGUGGGAUUGUACCUGCUAGAUAUGGGGAGCUGGUGCUCGUGGGAUUGUACCAGACCCUCGUUUCAUAGCGCAAUAGAUUUGGAAUUCGGCUCUAAAUUCAUGUGCGCUUCAAAUGGUAAAUCAAGACAUUAUUAGUUUUCUCAAUUUCUUAUUAUAAAAUAUCAGCAACAACAUCCUGCUCCUGUAUUUGCAUAAAGAGCUUGGAAGCCACCUCCGGAUCGCCGAUCUCGAAACGUCUAAGGAUCAUAGAAGUCCACGAGGUGACAUUCCUGUGAGGCAUUUCUUGGAAGAGCUGCCAAGCCUCCCCAGCCCCCCACCGCACUUGA